UUGCUGUCGUUCGCUUCACUUGCCGAGGUCUUCGUUCAACGCCGCAGCCGUGAAACGCUUGUGAUUUUCUUUACACAAGCCGGGAAGGUGGCUACGUGCGUGGUGGGAGGGCGUGGUGACUUUUCUUCAUCCGCAGUGGCUGUCACUGGAUUCCGUCGCGACUGCAAAACACAAACGGUUGUUUUCAGUGAGGACCAUGUAGAUGCAGCGAAUGCAGAGCUUUGGGCUACAAGUCUAUGGUGUGACCGUGUGAUGAACUGA
This 261-nucleotide unclassified non-coding RNA is filed under the name Zea mays. RNAcentral's name for it is "misc RNA Zm00001eb142380". The record is from RNAcentral. Lineage: Eukaryota; Viridiplantae; Streptophyta; Magnoliopsida; Poales; Poaceae.